This 67-nucleotide transfer RNA is filed under the name Orthocis pygmaeus. RNAcentral describes it as "tRNA-Tyr". Lineage: Eukaryota; Metazoa; Arthropoda; Insecta; Coleoptera; Ciidae. The record is from RNAcentral.
GUUAGGAUGGCUGAAAUUUUAAGCAGUAAGUUGUAACCUUACUUAUGAAUAUAUAAUUCUUCUAUCA